CAGCACGCGGUAAUACGGAGGGUGCGAGCGUUAUUCGGAAUUAUUGGGCGUAAAGGGCGUGUAGGCGGCUCAUCAAGUCUGGUGUGAAAUCGCAGGGCUCAACCCUGCAUAUGCGCUGGAAACUGGUGGGCUGGAGUUCUUGAGGGGAAGCUGGAAUUCCAGGUGUAGGGGUGAAAUCUGUAGAUAUCUGGAAGAACACCGGUGGCGAAGGCGAGCUUCUAUCAGAGGACUGACGCUGAGGCGCGAAAGCGUGGGGAGCAAACAGGAUUAGAUACCCUGGUAGUCCACGCUGUAAACGAUGUGCACUAGGCGUGGGGCACGUACGUGUUCUGUGCCGUAGUUAACGUGUUAAGUGCACCGCCUGGGGAGUAUGCUCGCAAGGGUGAAACUCAAAGGAAUUGACGG
RNAcentral lists this ribosomal RNA (405 nucleotides) under uncultured bacterium. RNAcentral's name for it is "bacterial SSU rRNA". It matches the Rfam family "Bacterial small subunit ribosomal RNA", at positions 509 to 916 of the family's 1533-position model. The record is from RNAcentral.